AGGGCCUUCCAUGAACACUGAAGGUGAAUGUUUCCCCGUUCAUUCACCUGGAUGACAUCUCUCUCUCUGGGUCAGGACCUUCCUCAGUGUGAAAAUAAACAGAUCUGCCAGAUGACUCUUCUUAGAGUAUGCAGUGUCAGUCAGGAGCCCGGCAGAUACAGGUGUCACACUCAGCCAGGGAAAAUGGGGAAGUGGGUGGGGCUGUGGAUGGGAAAGCAACUGCAAUGUGCAAGAAUCCUGGAGACCCACAACUAGGAAGGGGAGCCAAGCUGAAGUGACUGUCUCUCCCAUCUCCCUCUGUCCAAACAGGAAGGCAGAAGUCAAGGGCACCCUGGCAGAGAACACAGAGCAUGAGAAGGCCUGAGUUCGGAGCCUCAGAACCCAGGAAAAGCUGCUCUCUGCAACCGCAUCUACACCCUCAGCUCUUCAGUGCUAAGGAGCAGACAGGUAGGCCUGGUCUCACUGGACACUCAGUCCAACCCAGUCAGACUCUAAUAAGUAACAAGACCAUCUGAGGUUUUAAAGAAAAAAACAAAAAUAAAGGAUCAGACCUACCCGCCUUCACCCAGCCUGAACCUUGUACUUUAUCAGGUCUCUAGGACACUCGCCGACCCUGCGAAGUGGGAGAGCCGCUGGCUUGCAGCAGCAGAUGCUGAGAAAGAGUGAUGUAUCAGGAAAAGAGGCCCGGGACCCGAGACAGCUACAACCCAGACUCCCCCAAGGGCUGAGCUGGAGGCUGCUGUGACUGAGGAAAGCUCAAAAUAAACUGAAGAAAAUAUAAUGGUUUUAAAACAAAGGGAGGGCCUGUUUCUCUGGAGCAUAGGCUAAGUUUGCCCAAUGGGUUCCAGCUGUCCUUCAAUCGGGCUAGCCUGGGUUUCGCUUUAGUUUUUUAAGAUGAUCUAUUUUUUUAUUG
RNAcentral lists this long non-coding RNA (913 nucleotides) under Mus pahari (shrew mouse). Its description in RNAcentral is "lncRNA (MGP_PahariEiJ_G0003318.1)". The record is from RNAcentral. Lineage: Eukaryota; Metazoa; Chordata; Mammalia; Rodentia; Muridae.